Molecule: ribosomal RNA, 253 nt
Filed under: uncultured bacterium
Lineage: Bacteria
Description: partial 16S ribosomal RNA
Rfam family: Bacterial small subunit ribosomal RNA
Source: RNAcentral
UACGGGGGGAGCAAGCGUUGUUCGGAAUUACUGGGCGUAAAGGGCUCGUAGGCGGCCAACUAAGUCGGAUGUGAAAUCCCCAGGCUUAACCUGGGAACUGCAUCCGAUACUGGAUGGCUUGAAUCCGGGAGAGGGAUGCAGAAUUCCAGGUGUAGCGGUGAAAUGCGUAGAUAUCUGGAGGAAUACCGGUGGCGAAGGCGGCAUCCUGGACCGGCAUUGACGCUGAGGAGCGAAAGCUAGGGGAGCAAACGGG